CACUGUGCCUCAGGGCUUGGUAGCCCGAGGCAGCUGCUUCACCAUGUUUAAUGAUAGGGGCUGGCCAUUGGAGCAUAAAAAAUAUGUGCAGGGUGAAGCUCGACAACAUUAAGGUCACUUCCAAUUCAGUGAACUCAUAAACCAAUCCAUAUAGGUCUAGAACAGGAUGAGCAGCUAUCAACUGGUCCUUGGACUCAUAAUGCAACACAUCAGAAGAAAACAACAUUGGGAAAAUUUCCAUCAGAUCUGCAAAUGGAGAUCCAUGGGGAGAAAAACUCCAUCAGCACUACAUAGAAUCACCAGAUCCAGGUUGACUAAAGAACAAGGGGGGAAAGCUACAUGCUCCAAGAGUGUCCCCAGAAGAUGGGACUGAUAAACCACUUUAAACCUAGAAAAUUCUUAGUAGGAUUGUUGUAAGUCAGAAUCAAUUUGAUAGCACAUUCACUGUUAUUAUUAUUGUUAUUAUUAGAUUUUGAACUGAUGCAGGCCAGAGAUCAGUAUCCUCAUGUUCUUAACCAGUGGUAGCUGGUGACUCCUGAGGUGCUGUGGAUCCACCCCAUGUUUUACUCUGCACUUUAGAGGAGCUGUCCAAGGCACUGAGCUGUAUCUCCAGCAGAGGUUCAGAACCUGGAGAGCUCUUACAAAGCUCAGACUAAAACCUGGAUUCGCAGCAUUCUUGAAGUGGGAGUCACCAGCUGCCGCUGAUCCUAGUCAUCCCUCUGCUAUUCCAGUGUGUUCAAAUGUGAAAGGAAUAACGGAAGACUGUGCAUGUGAUGUCCAGUGCAGACAGAUGAAAACCAGAGACUUCUUACACUAAUGCAUUAAAUGAACUGCAUGGGAUCCUAGUCAUCCCUCUGCUAUUCCAGUGUUUUCAAAUGUGAAAGGAAUAAUGGAAGACUCUGCAUGUGAUGCCCAGUGCACACAGAUGAAAACCGGAGACUUAUUACACUAAUGGAUGGUAUGGUGAAUGUGUGGUGCAGGAAAGAGAGGCAUGAUCCAACUGCAAGGUUGUGUCUUACCCUGUGGCUGUGUAAUAUAUGAAUGCUCUGGGCUACAAUAUGGAUUGCUAACAACAACAUAUUGGCCAAAAUUCUGUUGCUUAGCAUAGGAGAUCACUCUGGAGGAGGCCCAUUUAAUCAACAUGGAUUUGGUAAGUCAGUUUCUCCAUAGAUUCAAUUGAUUCAAAUAAUGCUACUCUAAAUGUGUUUUAUUUUAGCCUAGUAGGUCUCAACCAAAGUAGGACCAUCUGAAUCAAUGGAACUUAAAGAAGGGUUGACUCACCAAGCCCCAUGGAUUCAAUGAGCCUGCCAGUUUCUCCAUAGAUUCAAUUGAUUCAAAUGAUGCUACUCUAAAUGUGUUUAUUUUAGCCCAGUAGGUCUCAACCAAAGUACUGUAGGACCAUUUGAAUCAAUGGAACUUAAAGAAGAGUUGACUCAGCAUGCCCCAUGGAUUCAAUGAGCCUGCUCUAGUGCAAUUUAUUACACUCAGUAAUAAAAAACAGGAUUUUGGCA
This 1511-nucleotide long non-coding RNA is filed under the name Pogona vitticeps (central bearded dragon). Its description in RNAcentral is "lncRNA (ENSPVIG00000018782.1)". Lineage: Eukaryota; Metazoa; Chordata; Lepidosauria; Squamata; Agamidae. The record is from RNAcentral.